UACGGGGGGGGCAAGCGUUGUUCGGAAUUACUGGGCGUAAAGGGCUCGUAGGUGGCCACCUAAGCCAGACGUGAAAUCCCCAGGCUCAACUUGGGAACUGCGUCUGAUACUGGAUGGCUUGAAUUCGGGAGAGGGAUGCAGAAUUCCAGGUGUAGCGGUGAAAUGCGUAGAUAUCUGGAGGAAUACCGGUGGCGAAGGCGGCAUCCUGGACCGAGAUUGACACUGAUGAGCGAAAGCUAGGGGAGCAAACGGG
RNAcentral lists this ribosomal RNA (253 nucleotides) under uncultured bacterium. RNAcentral describes it as "partial 16S ribosomal RNA". It matches the Rfam family "Bacterial small subunit ribosomal RNA", at positions 524 to 776 of the family's 1533-position model. The record is from RNAcentral.